Mycena metata is the source of this 88-nucleotide non-coding RNA. NCBI's taxonomy places the organism in Eukaryota, Fungi, Basidiomycota, Agaricomycetes, Agaricales, Mycenaceae. The record is from the annotation of a GenBank genome assembly.
GACCUAAUAGCACAAGUGGUAGUGCACCUGCUGUGCAUAAAAUGGAAGAACAGAGUAUUUGCAGGAGGUUCGAUUCGGGGUUAGGUCG